Molecule: long non-coding RNA, 1165 nt
Filed under: Equus caballus (horse)
Lineage: Eukaryota; Metazoa; Chordata; Mammalia; Perissodactyla; Equidae
Description: lncRNA (ENSECAG00000051721.1)
Source: RNAcentral
UGUAGGUGGGCAUCAUUCAAUCUGUUGAGGGCCUGAACAAAACAAAAGGUGAGGAAGGAGGAGUUUGCACAUUUUCCUGCCUCGCUGCUGGAGCUGUGACUCAUUUCAUCUUCUCCUGCCUGUGGACUGGUUUUACACCAGGGGCUCCUCUGGUUCUCAGACCUUUGCACUUGGACUGAGUUGUACCUCUGGCUUUCCUGGGUCUCAAGUUUACAGAUGGCAGAUCAUAGGACUUCUCCGUCUCCAUAAUUGCGUGAGCCAAUUCCUCAAAAUAAAUCAUCUUUUAUACGAAAAAAGUGGAGGGGAUGUUUCUCCUGUAAAUAUUCAACAGCAGCAAGAAGGCAAAAAGAAGAAAUGACUCUUUACUAGUCUGUGUCCAGUGAAGAAAAGAACAUUAUGGGGAUCCCACUCUGUGGGGAGAGCAGACUGCACUUGGCUGAUCUAUCCAGAAGGAGUCUUAAAGGACUGUUUGCAUUAAAGACUUCCUAGGGCUAAAUAUUAAGGACCUCAGACAGCUAAAGUGGACUUGAACACAAAACACAUACACUCGCUAGAGAGGCCAGUGCCAGUGGGAGGGAGAUUUAAGAGACCCGUUUAUCAUCCAACGAAAUGGAUGAAAGUGGAAAGAAAUUUAAAUGUUGUUGCUCCAUGUGGGGUACUUGUGGUCCAUUUCAAAGCCUGAAAAUUGGCUAAACUAUAGUCAGCUGACACUUAGCCCUUCUCCUCCUCCUUUCCAACCCUUUAAUCUCUCUUUCAUAUCACCCUUCAUCUGCCCCCCCACUUCUUUUAUGGGAAGGUAUGAAGCACGUUCUCCUCAUCCUCUUUUUUGCCUCCUCUUCCUCAUUACUGUUAUUCUUAAUAGCCAUGGGUCUUGAGCACUUACUCUGUUGAAAGCCCAGUAUUAGGCACCGUGAAUGCACGGUCUUUUAUGUAAACCAUGUAACAUUUAGUAGAGAACAUUUAUAGCUCCAGCUGAGGGAUGAAGAAAUGGAGACUCCAAGAUGCAACCUCCUCAAAGUCACACAGCUCGGCAGAGGCAGAUGUGGCGUUUACACCGAGUACUGUUUGGUUUCCAUACUAGUAACUUUUGUAUUGCAUUACCAGUAUCCUCUCCCUCCACCCAAUCAGUGCUUAUUAAAUACAUAAAUAUACAGUAUAAAUAAAU